RNAcentral lists this unclassified non-coding RNA (20 nucleotides) under Chlamydomonas reinhardtii. Its description in RNAcentral is "small RNA Cre_0457". Lineage: Eukaryota; Viridiplantae; Chlorophyta; Chlorophyceae; Chlamydomonadales; Chlamydomonadaceae. The record is from RNAcentral.
AGCAGCUCUGGUCGUGGGCG